This 473-nucleotide ribosomal RNA is filed under the name uncultured delta proteobacterium. Its description in RNAcentral is "bacterial SSU rRNA". It matches the Rfam family "Bacterial small subunit ribosomal RNA", at positions 400 to 863 of the family's 1533-position model. The record is from RNAcentral. Lineage: Bacteria; Deltaproteobacteria.
CGUGAGUGAUGAAGGCCUUAGGGUCGUAAAACUCUGUCAAGUGGAAAGAACCUGCAAAGUGCUAAUAUCACUUUGCACUGACGGUACCACUGAAGGAAGCACCGGCUAACUCCGUGCCAGCAGCCGCGGUAAUACGGGGGGUGCAAGCGUUAUUCGGAAUUAUUGGGCGUAAAGAGCGCGUAGGCGGUUUUUUAAGUCAGAUGUGAAAGCCCGGGGCUCAACCCUGGAAGUGCAUUUGAAACUGAAGGACUUGAGUAUGGGAGAGGGAAGUGGAAUUCCUGGUGUAGAGGUGAAAUUCGUAGAUAUCAGGAGGAACACCGGUGGCGAAGGCGACUUCCUGGACCAAUACUGACGCUGAGGCGCGAAGGCGUGGGGAGCAAACAGGAUUAGAUACCCUGGUAGUCCACGCAGUAAACGGUGAUCACUAGGUGUAGCGGGUAUUGACCCCUGCUGUGCCGGAGUUAACGCAUUAA